GGGCUUGACAUCCCACGAAUCCCUUCGAAAGAAGGGAGUGCCCGCAAGGGAGCGCGGAGACAGGUGGUGCAUGGCUGUCGUCAGCUCGUGUCGUGAGAUGUUGGGUUAAGUCCCGCAACGAGCGCAACCCUCACCUCUUGUUGCCACCAGGUCAUGCUGGGCACUCUAGAGGAACUGCCCCGGUCAACGGGGAGGAAGGCGGGGAUGACGUCAAGUCAUCAUGCCCCUUACGUCCUGGGCUACACACGUGCUACAAUGGCCGGCACAAAGGGAUGCCACACCGCGAGGUAGAGCUAAACCCAAAAAGCCGGUCUAAGUUCAGAUUGGAGUCUGCAACUCGACUCCAUGAAGGAGGAAUCGCUAGUAAUCGCGUAUCAGCACGACGCGGUGAAUACGUUCCCGGGCCUUGUACACACCGCCCGUCACACCACGAAAGCCCGUUGUACUCGAAGUCGCUGAG
Molecule: ribosomal RNA, 460 nt
Filed under: uncultured Methylomirabilota bacterium
Lineage: Bacteria; Methylomirabilota (SeqCode)
Description: bacterial SSU rRNA
Rfam family: Bacterial small subunit ribosomal RNA
Source: RNAcentral